Molecule: ribosomal RNA, 460 nt
Filed under: uncultured bacterium
Lineage: Bacteria
Description: partial 16S ribosomal RNA
Rfam family: Bacterial small subunit ribosomal RNA
Source: RNAcentral
CCUACGGGGGGCAGCAGUGAGGAAUAUUGGUCAAUGGACGAGAGUCUGAACCAGCCAAGUAGCGUGAAGGAUGACUGCCCUAUGGGUUGUAAACUUCUUUUAUAUGGGAAUAAAAUGUUCCACGUGUGGGAUUUUGUAUGUACUAUAUGAAUAAGGAUCGGCUAACUCCGUGCCAGCAGCCGCGGUAAUACGGAGGAUCCGAGCGUUAUCCGGAUUUAUUGGGUUUAAAGGGAGCGUAGGUGGAUUGUUAAGUCAGUUGUGAAAGUUUGCGGCUCAACCGUAAAAUUGCAGUUGAGACUGGCAGUCGUGAGUACAGUAGAGGUAGGCGGAAUUCGUGGUGUAGCGGUGAAAUGCUUAGAUAUCACGAAGAACUCCGAUUGCGAAGGCAGCUCACUAGACUGCAACUGACACUGAGGCUCGAAAGUGUGGGUAUCAAACAGGAUUAGAUACCCUUGUAGUC